Molecule: ribosomal RNA, 495 nt
Filed under: uncultured bacterium
Lineage: Bacteria
Description: partial 16S ribosomal RNA
Rfam family: Bacterial small subunit ribosomal RNA
Source: RNAcentral
GAUGAACGCUGGCGGCGUGCCUAAUACAUGCAAGUAGAACGCUGAAGGAGGAGCUUGCUCUUCUGGAUGAGUUGCGAACGGGUGAGUAACGCGUAGGUAACCUGCCAGGUAGCGGGGGAUAACUAUUGGAAACGAUAGCUAAUACCGCAUGACAACAGUUAUUGCAUGAUAACUGUUUAAAAGGGGCAACUGCUCCACUACCAGAUGGACCUGCGUUGUAUUAGCUAGUUGGUGAGGUAACGGCUCACCAAGGCGACGAUACAUAGCCGACCUGAGAGGGUGAUCGGCCACACUGGGACUGAGACACGGCCCAGACUCCUACGGGAGGCAGCAGUAGGGAAUCUUCGGCAAUGGACGGAAGUCUGACCGAGCAACGCCGCGUGAGUGAAGAAGGUUUUCGGAUCGUAAAGCUCUGUUGUAAGAGAAGAACGAGUGUGAGAGUGGAAAGUUCACACUGUGACGGUAUCUUACCAGAAAGGGACGGCUAACUACGUG